CCUACGGGGGGCAGCAGUGGGGAAUAUUGGACAAUGGGGGGAACCCUGAUCCAGCCAUGCCGCGUGUGUGAAGAAGGCCCUCGGGUUGUAAAGCACUUUCAGUGAGGAAGAACGCCUGGUGGUUAAUACCCAUCAGGAAAGACAUCACUCACACAAGAAGCACCGGCUAACUCCGUGCCAGCAGCCGCGGUAAUACGGAGGGUGCGAGCGUUAAUCGGAAUUACUGGGCGUAAAGCGCGCGUAGGUGGCUUGAUAAGCCGGUUGUGAAAGCCCCGGGCUCAACCUGGGAACGGCAUCCGGAACUGUCAAGCUAGAGUGCAGGAGAGGAAGGUAGAAUUCCCGGUGUAGCGGUGAAAUGCGUAGAGAUCGGGAGGAAUACCAGUGGCGAAGGCGGCCUUCUGGACUGACACUGACACUGAGGUGCGAAAGCGUGGGUAGCAAACAGGAUUAGAUACCCGAGUAGUC
This 465-nucleotide ribosomal RNA is filed under the name Vreelandella stevensii. RNAcentral describes it as "partial 16S ribosomal RNA". It matches the Rfam family "Bacterial small subunit ribosomal RNA", at positions 338 to 795 of the family's 1533-position model. Lineage: Bacteria; Pseudomonadati; Pseudomonadota; Gammaproteobacteria; Oceanospirillales; Halomonadaceae. The record is from RNAcentral.